This 327-nucleotide long non-coding RNA is filed under the name Brassica napus (rape). RNAcentral describes it as "long non-coding RNA (BNAP_LNC001236)". The record is from RNAcentral. Lineage: Eukaryota; Viridiplantae; Streptophyta; Magnoliopsida; Brassicales; Brassicaceae.
AAAGGACAUUAAUACGAUUAAUAUUUUCAUGUCUCAUAAUGCCAAAGAAAAUAAAUAAUUUUAGCCAAGCUGUAUUGUACAUAAAAACAAAACAAAAUAAUAAGCUUAUUAUGGUGACAAAAAAAUCUUUUUUUUUUUGAACACAGUGGCAAAAAAAUCUUAACAUGUCGUAUUUCGGGUGGGGUUUAUACUUUACGGACUUGUAGUUGUAGUUAGGUGAACAAGAAACACGUGGGAAUAAAAAGGGUCGAAAUACCAAUUUUGAAAAUACAUACUGCUUAUAAUACAUUUACAUACUCUUGUAGUUUUUUUGACGAAAAUACAUUU